Molecule: ribosomal RNA, 253 nt
Filed under: uncultured bacterium
Lineage: Bacteria
Description: partial 16S ribosomal RNA
Rfam family: Bacterial small subunit ribosomal RNA
Source: RNAcentral
UACGAAGGAGGCUAGCGUUGUUCGGAAUCACUGGGCGUAAAGCGCACACAGGCGGAUCGAUAAGUCGGGGGUGAAAGCACGGGGCUCAACCUCGGAAUUGCCUUCGAUACUGUCGGUCUCGAGUCCGGGAGAGGUGAGUGGAAGUCCUAGUGUAGAGGUGAAAUUCGUAGAUAUUAGGAAGAACACCAGUGGCGAAGGCGGCUCAUGGGCCCGGUACUGACGCUCAGGUGCGAAAGCGUGGGGAGCAAACAGG